RNAcentral lists this long non-coding RNA (605 nucleotides) under Homo sapiens (human). Its description in RNAcentral is "long independently transcribed non-coding RNA 2660, transcript variant 4 (LINC02660)". Lineage: Eukaryota; Metazoa; Chordata; Mammalia; Primates; Hominidae. The record is from RNAcentral.
CUUUGAGCAAGAGGACAAACCUGGGUAGGGAUCUCUAUGAUGUUUUCUGCGUUGCCCGUGGACGUUCAUCUUUCUGAUUUGUUAGCUGAAGAUGAGGAUCUGGAGCAGGAGCUCGGAGUGCCAUUGUUCCAUGGGCAGAUGUGCAGCAGAGAUUAGCAUUAGGAAGACAAGCAGGGCCUUCAGUAGGCAUAAGGUGAUGAGGUUCAUGCCGUUGGAUCCCACGGGUGCCCUGGGGAAGAGAUGGUUGGGAAGUCUGAGAGGAAGCAGGAGAGCUUUCGGAGCACAUGGAUGCCGUCCAGAAUGGAGAUGGUUGUGGCUCGGAAGAAAAAGAAAUCACCCAGCUCGGAGUCAGGAUACAUUUGGAGGUCCAGGCCGCCGAGUUUGCUGGUGGGGAAGAUAGGCACCAGAAAGGAAAGAGGACAUCCAGGGCAAUUUCUUCUGCCCCCCAGCCAAUCCGUACAUUGUCCAGAGGCCAAGCCUACUGCUGUUAGAAAACAUAUUUAGAAAUCACUUGGUUCUUCCUUGCCUGAACAUCAUCUAUUUAGUUAGCUUGUGUUGUUUAGAUGUGCUUCAGAUCUCAAAAAAAUAAAUUAUGUUAUUUGAAA